Molecule: non-coding RNA, 23 nt
Filed under: Cricetulus griseus (Chinese hamster)
Lineage: Eukaryota; Metazoa; Chordata; Mammalia; Rodentia; Cricetidae
Source: RNAcentral
UUGUGGCAUAAUAGAACCUUUGA